CGUCCCUCGCCUCCAAAGAGCCGUGCUAUGAUGUUUGUGUGGCAAGCUCCGAUCUUGUUCAUCACAAGCUUUUCGUUCGUUUUAUUAACUGAGAAGUUAUUUUUAUUUGGUUACAGAGAUACUUUUAUUUUUCCAAAGAAUUUGAUUAUUAAAUGAUAGCAACUCGUAAUUGAAAAUUGCUUAUCUAUAAUUCUGAGGUAUAAAUGUGUAAUUUGAAAUUGGUUUUACAGUGAAAAAUGUUCAAAGACAAGCUACCGUAUUCUAUUAGGAUUCUUCUUGAGUCAGCCAUCCGGAACUUUGAUAACUUCCAGGUCACAAAGAAUGAUGUCGAGAAGAUUAUUGACUGGGAGAAUACCUCCCCAAAGCAAGUUGAGAUUCCAUUUAAGCCUGCAUGUGUUCUUCUGCAGGAUUUUACUGGUGUGCCAUCUGUUGUCGAUCUGGCCUGUAUGCAAAAUGCUAUA
Long non-coding RNA from Asparagus officinalis (garden asparagus), 461 nucleotides. RefSeq lists it as uncharacterized. The transcript is spliced from 3 exons. Lineage: Eukaryota; Viridiplantae; Streptophyta; Magnoliopsida; Asparagales; Asparagaceae. The record is from RefSeq and is a predicted model, not a curated record.